RNAcentral lists this ribosomal RNA (659 nucleotides) under bacterium enrichment culture clone WG_230. RNAcentral describes it as "bacterial SSU rRNA". It matches the Rfam family "Bacterial small subunit ribosomal RNA", at positions 63 to 734 of the family's 1533-position model. The record is from RNAcentral.
UGGAAUGAGAUUUCGGUCAAAUGAAGUUGAGGACAGUGGCGGACGGGUGAGUAACGCGUGAGGAACCUGCCUUUCAGAGGGGGACAACAGUUGGAAACGACUGCUAAUACCGCAUAACACAUUGAGGUCGCAUGGCCUUGAUGUCAAAGAUUUAUCGCUGAAAGAUGGCCUCGCGUCUGAUUAGCUAGUUGGUGAGGUAACGGCCCACCAAGGCGACGAUCAGUAGCCGGACUGAGAGGUUGAACGGCCACAUUGGGACUGAGAUACGGCCCAGACUCCUACGGGAGGCAGCAGUGGGGAAUAUUGGGCAAUGGGCGCAAGCCUGACCCAGCAACGCCGCGUGAAGGAAGAAGGCUUUCGGGUUGUAAACUUCUUUUGCAAGGGAAGAGAAGAAGACGGUACCUUGUGAAUAAGCCACGGCUAACUACGUGCCAGCAGCCGCGGUAAUACGUAGGUGGCAAGCGUUGUCCGGAUUUACUGGGUGUAAAGGGCGUGUAGCCGGGUCGGUAAGUCAGAUGUGAAAUCUAUGAGCUCAACUCAUAAACUGCAUUUGAAACUGCUGAUCUUGAGUAUCGGAGAGGCAAUCGGAAUUCCUAGUGUAGCGGUGAAAUGCGUANAUAUUAGGAGGAACACCAGUGGCGAAAGGCGGAUUGCUGGAC